Long non-coding RNA from Astatotilapia calliptera (eastern happy), 524 nucleotides. Lineage: Eukaryota; Metazoa; Chordata; Actinopteri; Cichliformes; Cichlidae. The record is from Ensembl.
UAUUCACAUAAUGAAAACCUAUACUUUGUCUCGGGCGAGUUUCCCAUUCAAAUGCAUGUAACAGUGAGAAACACACUGUCUUGGCGAAAGAAAGCAUUUUUGUACAACUUCAUAUAAAUCGCUGUAACUUUUGAUAGAAGACUCAGAAACACAUGUUUAUGGCUUUAUCUUAUAGAACUCAAUAUCCCCGUGCUGGGCAAACAGGUUUUGCAGCCGUUUGAGCUAAGAUUUUAAAAUUAUUCACAUAAUGAAAACCUAUACUUUGUCUCGGGCGAGUUUCCCAUUCAAAUGCAUGUAACAGUGAGAAACACACUGUCUUGGCGAAAUAAAGCGUUUUUGCACAACUUUAUAUAAAUCGGUGCAACUUUUGAUAGACGACUCAGAAACACAUGUCUAUGGCUUCAUCUUAAAGAAUUCAAUAUCCUCGUGCUGGGCAAACAGGUUUUGCAGCCGUUUGAGCUAAGAUUUUAAAAUUAUUCACAUAAUGAAAACCUAUACUUUGUCUCGGGCGAGUUUCCCAUUCA